Molecule: ribosomal RNA, 384 nt
Filed under: uncultured bacterium
Lineage: Bacteria
Description: bacterial SSU rRNA
Rfam family: Bacterial small subunit ribosomal RNA
Source: RNAcentral
AUUGAACGCUGGCGGCAUGCUUUACACAUGCAAGUCGAACGGUAACAGGGAGCUUGCUCCGCUGACGAGUGGCGAACGGGUGAGUAAUGCAUCGGAACGUACCGUGUAAUGGGGGAUAACGUAGCGAAAGUUACGCUAAUACCGCAUACGCCCUGAGGGGGAAAUGGGGGACCGCAAGGCCUCACGUUAUACGAGCGGCCGAUGUCGGAUUAGCUAGUUGGUGGGGUAAAGCCUACCAAGGCGACGAUCCGUAGCGGGUCUGAGAGGAUGAUCCGCCACACUGGGACUGAGACACGGCCCGGACUCCUACGGAGGCAGCAGUGGGGAAUUUUGGACAAUGGGGGCAACCCUGAUCCAGCCAUGCCGCGUGAGUGAAGAAGGCCU